GAUGUUAUAUGCAAGACCUAUGGAGAAAUUUCAUCAAAAAUCAAAUAUUAUAUGUGUUUUUGGAGCUUUGCAGGAAAUUCGGGACCGGCUGGAGGUUGAAGAAGAUCUCUAGCCGGGCCUGGCUUAUAAUGGGCGUAAGCCCAUUUUGUCUAUAUCCUUGGUUCUGGGCUCACGCCCAUGAACCAAGGAAAAGAAAAGGAUUCUGGGCGUGAGCCCAGAACCAUUAACGGAAUAAAGGUUCUGGGCUCUCGCCCAGAACCAGUAACAUAUUAAAAAACAAGGGACAUGGGCCUAUAGCCCAAUAUUUGGACAUUUUAAUUAAAAGAACCGUGGGCCAUUUUAAUUCGUGGCCUGCCCGUUCCAAGCGGCCCGCGUGGGCUCCUGCGGGUCGACGGGCCGGGCGAAGGUCAGGGCCCGCGGGUAGGGUCCGAAAUAUUAAAAUAAUAAAAAAAUUAAUUAUUUUUUUAAAAAAUAUUUGUGGCAAAAAUUGUUGUUUGAUAAAUGCAAUAUGAUCUUGGAAGCACAUGUUGUAAAGUGCUUCAUAUUGUUUGAUGAAUUUUGGGCAUAAAUUUUUGGAGUUCCUUAUUAAUAAUUUUUUGGAGUUCUAUAUUGAUAAAAAUUAGUAUAUACAAUUACUCACCCAAAAUGGGUUAUUGUGUAUAUUAAUUUGAAAAAUAACAUGAAGAUUAAUUCCCAUAUUUGAAAGAUGGGGAUAUAUAAAUGAAAAAUAUUUAUCUGCCCAAAGGGGAUAAAUAUUUUUAAAAUUAUAUGUAAUUCCCUUCUAUAUUGAUAUUAUAGAGAUGCAUGAUUGAAAUGAUUUGUCU
RNAcentral lists this long non-coding RNA (824 nucleotides) under Eucalyptus grandis. RNAcentral describes it as "long non-coding RNA (EGRA_LNC001363)". Lineage: Eukaryota; Viridiplantae; Streptophyta; Magnoliopsida; Myrtales; Myrtaceae. The record is from RNAcentral.